UACGUAUGGUGCAAGCGUUGUCCGGAAUUAUUGGGCGUAAAGAGCUCGUAGGCGGUUCGUCGCGUCGGCUGUGAAAUCCCGAGGCUCAACCUCGGGUCUGCAGUCGAUACGGGCGGACUGGAGUUCGGCAGGGGAGACUGGAAUUCCUGGUGUAGCGGUGAAAUGCGCAGAUAUCAGGAGGAACACCGGUGGCGAAGGCGGGUCUCUGGGCCGAUACUGACGCUGAGGAGCGAAAGCAUGGGGAGCGAACAGG
RNAcentral lists this ribosomal RNA (253 nucleotides) under uncultured bacterium. RNAcentral's name for it is "partial 16S ribosomal RNA". It matches the Rfam family "Bacterial small subunit ribosomal RNA", at positions 524 to 776 of the family's 1533-position model. The record is from RNAcentral.